RNAcentral lists this unclassified non-coding RNA (547 nucleotides) under Hevea brasiliensis (rubber tree). The record is from RNAcentral. Lineage: Eukaryota; Viridiplantae; Streptophyta; Magnoliopsida; Malpighiales; Euphorbiaceae.
GUGGCAGUGUUGCACAGCCUUGGGACCUAUGACAUUUAUUUUCGUAUUAUUGUAUCAACAGUACUUCAAGGAACGCUUGGUGGGAUUUGAAGAAGAAAGCAGCUGGCGACAAAAGAAAACAGUAAACUGAUACAUUGUCUGGUUCCAGGCAGUUUAUGAGAAUGUCAAUUGCGUAGUCUCAUCUCAUCUCUCUCCACGAUCAUUAGCCGUCCUCUCUAUUUGAUAUUCCCGUUUACCUCAAUUUCUUUAAGCAAAUGUUCAACCAAGAAUCUCCCCACGUCUCUCUAUUGCCAGGCGUGAUUCUCUUUCCUCUUCCAUCACCAAAUCUCACUUCUCUCUCUCAGCCCCCCCUGCCUGAAAAAAUUGACCAGUUCUGAUCCUAACUAUAUGCACAAUUAAACACAGUUUAAUUAAUUCCUCCUCUUUUGUCUUAUAAUCAUCAAUUCUUUUCAUCAUGUGUCUUUUAGUCAAGUACAAGGUACGUGUUUAAGCCUGCUGACAUGGAAGUUUGCGUAAUAUUUUAGCUCCAUAAUUGCUUCAAUUUAGU